Molecule: transfer RNA, 72 nt
Filed under: Camelus bactrianus (Bactrian camel)
Lineage: Eukaryota; Metazoa; Chordata; Mammalia; Artiodactyla; Camelidae
Also listed under: 1 other name
Rfam family: tRNA
About the family: Transfer RNA (tRNA) molecules are approximately 80 nucleotides in length. Their secondary structure includes four short double-helical elements and three loops (D, anti-codon, and T loops).
Source: Rfam by way of RNAcentral
GAGGGUACAGCUCAGUGGUAGAGUGCUUGCCUAGCAUGCAUAAGGUCCUGGGUUCGAUCCCCAGUACUGCUG